UGGGGAAUAUUGCACAAUGGGCGCAAGCCUGAUGCAGCCAUGCCGCGUGUAUGAAGAAGGCCUUCGGGUUGUAAAGUACUUUCAGUCGGGAGGAAGGUGGUAAGGUUAAUAACCUUGGCAAUUGACGUUACCGACAGAAGAAGCACCGGCUAACUCCGUGCCAGCAGCCGCGGUAAUACGGAGGGUGCAAGCGUUAAUCGGAAUUACUGGGCGUAAAGCGCACGCAGGCGGUUGAUUGAGUCAGAUGUGAAAUCCCCGGGCUUAACCCGGGAAUUGCAUCUGAUACUGGUCAGCUAGAGUCUUGUAGAGGGGGGUAGAAUUCCAUGUGUAGCGGUGAAAUGCGUAGAGAUGUGGAGGAAUACCGGUGGAGAAGGCGGCCCCCUGGACAAAGACUGACGCUCAGGUGCGAAAGCGUGGGGAGCAAACAGG
RNAcentral lists this ribosomal RNA (429 nucleotides) under Chloroflexota bacterium. RNAcentral's name for it is "Chloroflexi bacterium partial 16S ribosomal RNA". It matches the Rfam family "Bacterial small subunit ribosomal RNA", at positions 355 to 776 of the family's 1533-position model. The record is from RNAcentral. Lineage: Bacteria; Bacillati; Chloroflexota.